GACGAACGCUGGCGGCGUGCUUAACACAUGCAAGUCGAACGGUGAAGCGCCUUCCUUUUUGGUGGGUGUGGAUGAGUGGCGAACGGGUGAGUAACACGUGAGUAACCUGCCCCCUUCUUCUGGAUAACCGCAUGAAAGUGUGGCUAAUACGGGAUAUUCUGGGUCUGUCGCAUGAUGGGUCUGGGAAAGAUAUUGUUUCGGUGGGGGAUGGGCUCGCGGCCUAUCAGCUUGUUGGUGGGGUGAUGGCCUACCAAGGCGGUGACGGGUAGCCGGCCUGAGAGGGUGGGCGGCCCCACGGGGGCUGAGCCACGGCGCCGACUCCUACGGGCGGCAGCAGUGAGUAAUAUUGCACAGUGGGCGCAAGGCUGAUGCAGCGCCGCCGCGUGGGGGAUGGAGGCCUGCGGGUUGUGAACCUCUUUCGCCAGUGAAGCAGGCCUGCCUCGUUUGUGGGUGGGUUGACGGUAGCUGGAUAAGAAGCGCCGGCUAACUACGUG
This 494-nucleotide ribosomal RNA is filed under the name uncultured bacterium. RNAcentral describes it as "partial 16S ribosomal RNA". It matches the Rfam family "Bacterial small subunit ribosomal RNA", at positions 28 to 507 of the family's 1533-position model. The record is from RNAcentral.